Molecule: ribosomal RNA, 484 nt
Filed under: uncultured bacterium
Lineage: Bacteria
Description: partial 16S ribosomal RNA
Rfam family: Bacterial small subunit ribosomal RNA
Source: RNAcentral
AUUGAACGCUGGCGGCAGGCCUAACACAUGCAAGUCGAGCGGAUGAAGGGAGCUUGCUCCUGGAUUCAGCGGCGGACGGGUGAGUAAUGCCUAGGAAUCUGCCUGGUAGUGGGGGAUAACGUCCGGAAACGGGCGCUAAUACCGCAUACGUCCUGAGGGAGAAAGUGGGGGAUCUUCGGACCUCACGCUACCAGAUGAGCCUAGGUCGGAUUAGCUAGUUGGUGGGGUAAAGGCCUACCAAGGCGACGAUCCGUAACUGGUCUGAGAGGAUGAUCAGUCACACUGGAACUGAGACACGGUCCAGACUCCUACGGGAGGCAGCAGUGGGGAAUAUUGGACAAUGGGCGAAAGCCUGAUCCAGCCAUGCCGCGUGUGUGAAGAAGGUCUUCGGAUUGUAAAGCACUUUAAGUUGGGAGGAAGGGCAGUAAGUUAAUACCUUGCUGUUUUGACGUUACCAACAGAAUAAGCACCGGUUAACUUCGUG